RNAcentral lists this ribosomal RNA (310 nucleotides) under Escherichia coli. RNAcentral's name for it is "bacterial SSU rRNA". It matches the Rfam family "Bacterial small subunit ribosomal RNA", at positions 1 to 307 of the family's 1533-position model. The record is from RNAcentral. Lineage: Bacteria; Pseudomonadati; Pseudomonadota; Gammaproteobacteria; Enterobacterales; Enterobacteriaceae.
AAAUUGAAGAGUUUGAUCAUGGCUCAGAUUGAACGCUGGCGGCAGGCCUAACACAUGCAAGUCGAACGGUAACAGGAAGCAGCUUGCUGCUUUGCUGACGAGUGGCGGACGGGUGAGUAAUGUCUGGGAAACUGCCUGAUGGAGGGGGAUAACUACUGGAAACGGUAGCUAAUACCGCAUAACGUCGCAAGACCAAAGAGGGGGACCUUCGGGCCUCUUGCCAUCGGAUGUGCCCAGAUGGGAUUAGCUGGUAGGUGGGGUAACGGCUCACCUAGGCGACGAUCCCUAGCUGGUCUGAGAGGAUGACCAG